GAUGAACGCUGGCCGUGCCUAACACAUGCAAGUCGAACGGGGUUCUAUGUCGGUGUUUUCGGAUGGAAGAGAUAGGACCCAGUGGCGGACGGGUGAGUAACACGUGGGUAACCUGCCUCAUAGAGGGGGAUAACAGAGAGAAAUCACUGCUAAUACCGCAUAAGCACACAGGAUCGCAUGAUCCAGUGUGAAAAGAUUUAUCGCUAUGAGAUGGACUCGCGUCUGAUUAGCGGGUUGGCGGGGUAAAGGCCCACCAAGGCGACGAUCAGUAGCCGAUCUGAGAGGAUGGCCGGCCACAUUGGGGACUGAGACACGGCCCAGACUCCUACGGGAGGGCAGCAGUGGGGGGAUAUUGCACAAAUGGGAAGGGAAACUUCUGAAUGCCAAGCAACCGCCCGGCGUGAAGUGAAAGAAAGUAAUU
Molecule: ribosomal RNA, 421 nt
Filed under: Oribacterium sp. oral taxon 102
Lineage: Bacteria; Bacillati; Bacillota; Clostridia; Lachnospirales; Lachnospiraceae
Description: bacterial SSU rRNA
Rfam family: Bacterial small subunit ribosomal RNA
Source: RNAcentral